GGGUCUACCCAUUGGUCAGGCUUAAAUGUCUGCACUGGUGAGAUGGAUCUCUACCUUCUGAGGAACUUUCAUGCUAUUUAUUUGGUGUGAUUGGAAAUCAGGACUGUUACUUUGAAAAAAUUAGAGUGUUUAAAGCAGGCCUUUGCCCGAAUACAUUAGCAUGGAAUAAUGAAAUAGGACGGACUGAUUCUAUUUCGUUGGUUUCUAGGAUCACCGUA
Molecule: ribosomal RNA, 218 nt
Filed under: Campeiostachys nutans
Lineage: Eukaryota; Viridiplantae; Streptophyta; Magnoliopsida; Poales; Poaceae
Description: Elymus nutans partial small subunit ribosomal RNA
Rfam family: Eukaryotic small subunit ribosomal RNA (bases 47-218)
Source: RNAcentral